RNAcentral lists this ribosomal RNA (328 nucleotides) under uncultured eukaryote. RNAcentral describes it as "partial 18S ribosomal RNA". It matches the Rfam family "Eukaryotic small subunit ribosomal RNA", at positions 1470 to 1796 of the family's 1831-position model. The record is from RNAcentral.
CCCUUAGAUGUCCUGGGCUGCACGCGCGCUACACUGAUGUGUUCAAUAAGCACCUAACCUACUCCGAAGGGACUGGGUAACCUUUGCAAAGCACAUCGUGAUGGGGAUAGAUUAUUGCAAUUAUUAGUCUUGAACGAGGAAUUCCUAGUAAGCGCAAGUCAUCAGCUUGUGUUGAUUACGUCCCUGCCCUUUGUACACACCGCCCGUCGCUCCUACCGAUUGAGUGAUCCGGUGAGGCUUUGGGAUCUGAGCAAAAAGAGCGUUUCGCUCGUUUGGCUCGGAAAACUCAGUCGAACCUUAUCAUUUAGAGGAAGGAGAAGUCGUAACA